CAUAAGAACAUCAGCAACGCAAGUUAUAAAGAGGAGAACUUAAUAUUUUUUAGAAUAAAAUUAAAUCAAAACUAGUCAAUAAUUCAAGAAUCGAUUCUUAUUUAAGACUUUUAAUUGGUUAAUAAGCAUCGAUUCUUAAGGGCUAGGUGUCUAUUCAUGAUUGGUUAGAUUUAUUGAAAAGAAAAACAACUAUUUUCUUUUAUGCGACUACGCUUCUCCUCCUUGAUCUCUCCGUCUUCACUUUGCCGCCGAUUUGGUCGCCAACCACCUAAUUUCCAUCGCCGAUUUGGUCGCCAACCUCUGUCUGCCAACCUGCAUCGCCAACCUCCGCCGCCGAUUUGGUUUGAUUAAGUGUUUCUCCUCUGCUUCUCCUCAAUCCUACAGAGUUUUCUGAAUAUAGCCUUUAACUCAAUAAGCUUGGUGUGUGUCCCCUUUAUGGAUUACGAUAAGCAUCUCACAGUUUCCUCCGCCUUCCUCUCCAUCUCUGGCGUCUUUUUCGCGAUCGCUGGUUUCUUCAUCUCCAUCUCCGGCGCAGAAAAUGGACUUCUAUUAGAAUUUUUUAGGAAUCCCACUAUCCCAGAGGUUCUUGCAUUGGAGAACAGAAUCCUACUCUUUUUUAAUAGAGGUACUUAACUUAAAUUUAACAUUAUUAUAUUGUUAAGCAUCUCUAAUAGGGUACUACUAUUGCUGAUGUUCUAAGCACCAAUUCUUAUGGGCUACGUGGCAUGAGUUAAUACACAGAGAGGAAAAGCUGCAUUGACAAAAAAAAAUUUUCAUUUCUCUUCUUCUCCUCGUUUUGUUCGAUGAAAUCACCGAGUUGCAUCGAUCUGAUCCUGCUGGUGCCACCUUCGUGAUUAUUCUUGCUGCCGGCACUGAAUUUCUGUCGUUUCCGUUUUCUUCCCAACAUCACCGUCUCGCCUAACUUGCUCGAGUGACUCGCUUCCAAUCCUUCCUUCGCCGCCUCCGCCUUAUAAACCGAAUUGGGGUCUGGAUUAUUAUCAUCUGAAACAUCACGAGUUGGACUCGGUUUGUCUCCGCCAACUCUUUUAGGAUCUGGAUUUUUUUUUAAGAACCACAUUAGGAUUUUUCCAUUGGAAACAGCAUUAUCUUAGUUUUUUAAUUAAAGUUCUUAAGAUCCAGUUAAUAAUAUUUUAUUGCUUAAGUACUCCAUUAGGAGUGCUUGCAUUGCUGAUCCUUUUAGGUCUUAGGCUCUCACCCUCGAUUUUCCAUCCCAUCCUAUCUUCUUUUCCUUGCAUUGGAAGCUGUGCCAAACCUGACAUAUAUUGGGCUUUUUUUUUAUCGGCAAACUAUAUUAUUAACAACUGUGAAUACAAAGUUUACAUUACAUACCAAGAUAUUUUAUAGCUUUGAACUUGCUCUCUAGCUAUCUUAGCAAGCCUAUCAACUUCCCAUACAACAUUACGAUUAACAUACAUAAAUGAACAUCUCAUACCCCUACAUGAUAUCUUAACAAUGUCUUUGACUUCUAUUGAUAUAUCUGGGUGACACCAAUAUUGUCUCUUUCUCGAGUUGUGCAUUGCAUUAACGCUCCUAAAAAGAACAUUGUUGUCCCCAACAAACAAGACUUCUUCAUAAGCUAGUAUUCUCAUUUCUUGAAUUGCCCUUAAUAAUGCUCUUGCUUCAGCUGCUAAUGGAGAUACUACGUACUGGUUCAAUUGAUGAGCUGCCUUGCAUAAUUUUUUCUCCAUUGAUACGGUAUAAGGACCAAGCAAUACCUGCAUUCACAGCAGAUGAUGUCCAUGAUGCAUCUACAUAUCAGCAAUAUCUAUUACUUAGCUGAUAGCCAUCAUGAGCAUUCUCCAAAUGAUGGUUCUGUCGACGAUGACAGUUAUUGGAUUGAUUCUCUUCAUUCCAUGUUUGGACAAAUCCCAUAAGUGAUAAUCCAUUAAUGCUUUAUUGAUAACCUGAGGAAUGAAUUCUCUCUUGUUUUCAAAAACAAGUUUAUUCCUCAUUUUCCAGAUUCUCCAAGCAAUAUACGAUAUUAAACCAUAAUUUUCCUGUAUGUGGGCUAGAAGCAAAAUAUUUUUUUUUUCUGGGCCAAUAUAUAUCAAUAUUCAAAGAAACCAUGAAAAAUAAAAACAUGUACUAAUACUACGAAAGUACGAAAGAUUCCAACUCAUGACCUAAUGUGAUUAAAGUUCUGCUCUUUCCAUACCAAAUCUAAUGAAGUUUGGCCGGUAAUAUUCAGAAACUCGUGAAGGCCGGAAGCAGCUGUUUGGAAGCAUUCUAUCUAUGCUUCGCCCUCGUGAG
RNAcentral lists this long non-coding RNA (2271 nucleotides) under Eutrema salsugineum. RNAcentral describes it as "long non-coding RNA (ESAL_LNC000562)". Lineage: Eukaryota; Viridiplantae; Streptophyta; Magnoliopsida; Brassicales; Brassicaceae. The record is from RNAcentral.